This 447-nucleotide ribosomal RNA is filed under the name uncultured bacterium. Its description in RNAcentral is "partial 16S ribosomal RNA". It matches the Rfam family "Bacterial small subunit ribosomal RNA", at positions 29 to 523 of the family's 1533-position model. The record is from RNAcentral.
AACGAACGCUGGCGGCAGGCCUAAAACAUGCAAGUCGAACGAACCUUCGGGUUAGUGGCGCACGGGUGAGUAACGCGUGGGAAUGUGCCUCUGGGUGCGGAACAACGUCGGGAAACUGACGCUAAUACCGCAUAAUGUCUUCGGACCAAAGAUUUAUCGCCCAGAGAUCAGCCCGCGUUAGAUUAGGCAGUUGUUGGGGUAAUGGCCUACCAAGCCUACGAUCUAUAGCUGGUCUGAGAGGAUGAUCAGACACACUGGAAUUGAGACACGGUCAAGACUUCUACGGGAGGCAGCAGUUAGGAAUAUUGGACAAUGGGCGCAAGCCUGUUCCAGCCAUGCCGAGUGUGUGACGAAGGCCUUAGGGUUGUAAAGCACUUUCGUCCGCGAAGAUAAUGACAGUAACGGAAGAAGAAGCUCCGGCUAAAUUCGUGCCAGCAGCCGCAGUAA